This 87-nucleotide microRNA precursor is filed under the name Seriola lalandi dorsalis. Its description in RNAcentral is "Danio rerio miR-192 stem-loop (ENSSLDG00000018395.1)". The stretch from base 7 to 80 matches the Rfam family "mir-192/215 microRNA precursor family". From Rfam's summary of the family: This family represents the human microRNA (miRNA) precursors mir-192 and mir-215. Animal miRNAs are transcribed as ~70nt precursors and subsequently processed by the Dicer enzyme to give a ~22nt product. Lineage: Eukaryota; Metazoa; Chordata; Actinopteri; Carangiformes; Carangidae. The record is from RNAcentral.
UGGGACACGAGGUGAUGACCUAUGAAUUGACAGCCAGUGGCUGAACAUCUGCCUGUCAGUUCUGUAGGCCACUGCUGCGUUUUCCCC